Molecule: small nuclear RNA, 114 nt
Organism: Bombina bombina (fire-bellied toad)
Lineage: Eukaryota; Metazoa; Chordata; Amphibia; Anura; Bombinatoridae
Product: U5 spliceosomal RNA
Exons: 1
Source: RefSeq, a predicted model, not a curated record
AUACUUUGAUUUUUCUUCAGAUCGUAUAAAGCUUUCUCCUUUACUAAAGUUUUCCAUGGAGAGGAUCAUCCAUGAGUUUUCAAAACUUUUUGAGGCUCUGCCCUUUACAGGGCU